CCUACGGGGGGCAGCAGUGGGGAAUCUUGCGCAAUGGGCGAAAGCCUGACGCAGCCAUGCCGCGUGAAUGAUGAAGGUCUUAGGAUUGUAAAAUUCUUUCACCGGGGACGAUAAUGACGGUACCCGGAGAAGAAGCCCCGGCUAACUUCGUGCCAGCAGCCGCGGUAAUACGAAGGGGGCUAGCGUUGCUCGGAAUUACUGGGCGUAAAGGGCGCGUAGGCGGAUCGUUAAGUCAGAGGUGAAAUCCCAGGGCUCAACCCUGGAACUGCCUUUGAUACUGGCGAUCUUGAGUAUGAGAGAGGUAUGUGGAACUCCGAGUGUAGAGGUGAAAUUCGUAGAUAUUCGGAAGAACACCAGUGGCGAAGGCGACAUACUGGCUCAUUACUGACGCUGAGGCGCGAAAGCGUGGGG
This 411-nucleotide ribosomal RNA is filed under the name uncultured Allobosea sp. Its description in RNAcentral is "bacterial SSU rRNA". It matches the Rfam family "Bacterial small subunit ribosomal RNA", at positions 338 to 766 of the family's 1533-position model. Lineage: Bacteria; Pseudomonadati; Pseudomonadota; Alphaproteobacteria; Hyphomicrobiales; Alloboseaceae. The record is from RNAcentral.